RNAcentral lists this ribosomal RNA (1960 nucleotides) under Haloplanus vescus. Its description in RNAcentral is "Archaeal large subunit ribosomal RNA". It matches the Rfam family "Archaeal large subunit ribosomal RNA", at positions 383 to 2384 of the family's 2987-position model. Lineage: Archaea; Methanobacteriati; Methanobacteriota; Halobacteria; Halobacteriales; Haloferacaceae. The record is from Rfam by way of RNAcentral.
AGUACAACGUGAGUCAGUUCCAGACUAGCGGGGAUUGGAUAUUCCUCGUGAACGUCCCGGGCAUCAACCGGGAAGGCUAAACACUCCUCGAGACCGAUAGCGAACAAGUAGCGUGAGCGAACGCUGAAAAGUAUCCCGAGAAGGGAACUGCAAUAGAGCCUGAACUCAGCUGGCGAUCGAGCGACGGGGCAUACAAGGUCCCACGAUAAACGACCGUGGCGCGAGCCACUAGUAGGACUCGUGGGAAGCCGAUGUUCCGUCGUGCGUUUUGAAAAACGAACCAGGGAGUGCAUUUGCUUGGCAAGCCUAACUCGACUAUCGAGGAAGGCACAGGGAAACCGAUACGGCCGCAGUCUUACGACCAGGGCCACCGUGUUCAAGCGCGGGGAGUCAAGCGGAUGCGACCCGAAACCGGGUGAUCUACGCGUGGGCAGGGUGAAGCGUGCCGAAAGGUACGUGGAGGCCCGUUAGGGGUGGUGUCCUACAAUACCCUCCCGUGACCUAUGCGUAGGGGUGAAAGGCCCAUCGAACCCGGCAACAGCUGGUUCCAGCCGAAACAUGUCGAAGCAUGACCUCUUCAGAGGUAGUCCGCGAGGUAGAGCUACCGAUUGGAUGACCCGCCUCCGAGAGGAGUCGGCCAUCCUGUCGAACUCCGAACUUGCGGACGCCGCAGACGAAGGGAGUCCGGUGUGCGGGGUAAGCCUGUGCACCAUAAGGGAGACAACCCAGCGGUAGGUUAAGGUCCCCAAGUGUAGACUAAGUGCGAUCGAAGGUGGUCCCGAGCCCUAGACAGCCGGGAGGUGAGCUUAGAAGCAGCUACCCUCCAAGAAAAGCGUAACAGCUUACCGGCCGAGGUUCGGGGCGCCCAAAAUGAUCGGGGCUCAAGUCUACCACCGAGACCUACCCAUGUCCGUUACAGGACAAUUGCGUAGGCUGGCACUCUGCUCGGACGGAAGCGCGGGAUAGAUCUCGUGUGGACCGAGCAGUGACGAUAAUCCUGGUCAUAGUAGCAGCGAGAGUCGGGUGUGACCCCCGACGGCCUUACGAGCAAGGGUUCCUCGGCACUGUCAAUCAGCCGAGGGUUAGUCGAUCCUAAGUCUCACCGUAACUCGACUGAGACAACAGGGAAGCUGGUUAAUAUUCCAGCACCACUACUCAUUGAAAGUCGACGCUUUGGGGACAACCGAACCGGGCUUUCGCCCGGUCUAAUCAGAUACCGCCGUGGAAGCCGUAACGGCACGAAGCGGCCAAACUCUGAGACAGCGCAAGUCGGUCGUACCUAGAGCCCGUGAAAAGACGAGAGUAGUGAUCGUACCGAGAUCCGACACAGGUGCUCUGCCGGCGAAAGGCAAGGCCCGUCGGGAGCAACCGGCGUUAGGGAAUUCGGCAAGUUAGUCCCGUACGUUCGCAAUAAGGGAUGCCUGCUCUGGAGAAGAGCAGGUCGCAGUGACUCGGGCGCUCCGACUGUCUAGUAACAACAUAGGUGACCGCAAAUCCGCAAGGACUCGUACGGUCACUGAAUCCUGCCCAGUGCGGGUAUCUGAACACCGAGUACAAUCGGACGAAGGACCCGUCAACGGCGGGGGUAACUAUGACCCUCUUAAGGUAGCGUAGUACCUUGCCGCUUCAGUAGCGGCUUGCAUGAAUGGAUCAACGAGAGCGCCACUGUCCCAACGCUGGGCCCGGUGAACUGUACGUUCCAGUGCGGAGUCUGGAGACCCCCAAGGGGAAGCGAAGACCCUAUAGAGCUUUACUGCAGGCUGUCGCUGAGACGUGGUCGCUACUGUGCAGCAUAGGUAGGAGGCGUUACACAGGUACCCGCGCUAGCGGGCCACCGAGCCAUCAUUGAAAUACUACCCGGUAGUGACUGCGACUCUCACUCCUGGCGGAGGACACCGGUAGCCGGGCAGUUUGACUGGGGCGGUACGCGCUCGAAAAGAUAUCGAGCGCGCCCGAUGGU